Molecule: small RNA, 65 nt
Filed under: Paenibacillus sp. P22
Lineage: Bacteria; Bacillati; Bacillota; Bacilli; Caryophanales; Paenibacillaceae
Description: mraW RNA
Source: RNAcentral
AGCAAAAUAGCGCAUGAAAAAACCGCCCGGCUCGGGCGGUUUUUUCAUGCGCUUAUUGGCAGAGC